UAAACUAGGAUUAGAUACCCUAUUAUUUUGAAUGAAAGUUAAAUUUAUCCUAGGUAAUAUUAGAUUUAUCUUUAAACCUAAAGAAUUUGGCGGUGUUUUAUUCUAUUCAGAGGAAUUUGUCCCGUUAUCGAUAGUCCUCGUUUUAUCUUACUUUAAUUUAUUUAGUAUGUAUACCGCCGUUAUAAGUUUAUUUUUUUAGAUUAUUUACUUAAAAAUUUAUUAUUUUUUAUUUCAGGCAAAGGGUGCAGA
This 249-nucleotide ribosomal RNA is filed under the name Carausius alluaudi. Its description in RNAcentral is "partial 12S ribosomal RNA". The record is from RNAcentral. Lineage: Eukaryota; Metazoa; Arthropoda; Insecta; Phasmatodea; Lonchodidae.